This is a long non-coding RNA of Bradysia coprophila, 446 nucleotides long. Lineage: Eukaryota; Metazoa; Arthropoda; Insecta; Diptera; Sciaridae. The record is from RefSeq and is a predicted model, not a curated record.
AAAAAGUUCGUCGCUUUAGAGAACAGCAAGAAAUUCAAGCCGAACAGCCGAAAACUUAUAAGUGACAAAAUCGGUGUACGAAUGGCAGCCAAACACUGGAAUGCUGCAGAUAUAAGCCUUGGUGAGAAAUGUAAAAAUCUUGAAAAAGAUUGUAUGAAUGCCCCCCUCCACUGCUUGGGAGUUCAUGACGAAUGUUCUGAAUACUUUUGUACAAAAACUACAUCGCCUGAAGCACGAGAUAAUCUCACUUUAUUGAAAAGCGAGGGAUUGUUAUACGAGAUACUUGGUUUGUGUCAACAUUAUUUUGCAAAUAAGGCAAAGAGUUUACUUGCUGGAUACGACACAAAUGUGGUGGAAGGAUUUAACAGCAUAAUCGCUAAGCAUUUAGGUGGUAAACGUGUCAACAAUGUUUUGGCUGGAUCGUACAAGUCAAGAACUGCGAUGGC